This 1163-nucleotide long non-coding RNA is filed under the name Homo sapiens (human). RNAcentral's name for it is "non-protein coding lnc-CBR1-1:3". Lineage: Eukaryota; Metazoa; Chordata; Mammalia; Primates; Hominidae. The record is from RNAcentral.
AGUACAGUCGGGGACGAGGUCGGCACACCCACAGCCCCAUAACCCCUACGUCGAGUCAGGGGUCAGAAAACCCAGUAACCCGCAGGCGAGCAAGCUGCGCACUGAAAAGCCGGCCUGCGGAGUCUUUCCUUACGAAGUUAAACCACCUAGGGCGCGCGGCCCUGUUCGCCCAGACCUCGGGCUUUCCUGCCAGGCUGGGUUUGCCGGGUCGAGUCACUUUGCUCGCCAAUCCCCGCCCCCAUUCCACCGUUUCAUUCUGGCCCCAGGACCCGCCUCACAGGAAAAUUCUAAAUAAUAUAUCUAAAUACCCCUUCUUCCAAUAGCGGGAGCUCGAUUUCUGCCCCACCCACCCCCACUUUGAUUAUGGGCUAUGCCUAGUAACUUGAUUCCAAAGAGUACAGCCUGGAAUGGUGUUGGGGACUACAGUGGAGAAACCUGGCAAACAGUACCUUACCGGGUGGUCAAGGAUAACAUCAGGAAGAAAUCAUGCUGAUAGCAUGUUCCUGUGGUGUCUCUCUCCAAAACCCUUCUAUGGAAAUCUUCUAUGGGGGAAAAAAAAUUAGUACUCCUAAACAUGUUUUCUGUCAUGAAAAACAAGUACAGUUGUCCCUUAGUGUCCGUGGGGGAAUGGUUCCAGGACCCUGCGGAUACCAGAAUUAGAAUGCUCAAGUCCCUUGUAUACAAUGGUGUAAACCUAAGUAACAAAAGAGGCUCCCUAAAAGAAAAUGAGAUUUAUCUGGGAGUAGCAUUGCAAUGGGAAUAUGCAUGCCAUAGUAAACUGUGUGCGUUUUGGGGGAGGUUGAGGCAAGGAGAUGUUUUUAAAAGGAAAAUGAAGAUUAUAUGAAUUGCUUUAAAUCAAUUAUCUUUGGCUAAAAGAAUGAAUAACAAAGGUAGCAUCAGUCCAAAGUUGCUGGACAGAUGUCCUUGCAGAAGGAUUUUCUGUGUUUAAGAUUGGGCCUUUCUGCAAGGUUAGGGUCUUUUGUGACAAUUCUUGUUAUGAGGCGUAGUGCAUGAGAACCCUUCCUUCAAGGCCUUCCCCAGCUGCAUUUAUCAGGGUUUUGACACAAGUGACUCCAUUUUGAUUCUGCAACUUUCACAAUGGUGUAAUAUUUGCAUAUAACCUAUGCACAUCCUCCCAUAUACUUUAAAUCAUCUCUAGAUUA